This 174-nucleotide ribosomal RNA is filed under the name Kiritimatiellia bacterium. RNAcentral's name for it is "Kiritimatiellae bacterium (gut metagenome) partial 23S ribosomal RNA". It matches the Rfam family "Bacterial large subunit ribosomal RNA", at positions 2753 to 2925 of the family's 2925-position model. The record is from RNAcentral. Lineage: Bacteria; Pseudomonadati; Kiritimatiellota; Kiritimatiellia.
GUUCGGAACGGAUAAGCGCUGAAAGCAUCUAAGCGCCAAGCCUCCCCCAAGACAAGUUUUCCCAGACGCAAGUCUCUGAAGUCAGGUUGUAGACCACGACCUCGAUAGGCCGAAGGUGUAAGCGUAGCGAUACGUUGAGCUGAUCGGUACUAAUAAGACGUGCGGCUUAGCUUA